This 490-nucleotide ribosomal RNA is filed under the name uncultured bacterium. RNAcentral describes it as "partial 16S ribosomal RNA". It matches the Rfam family "Bacterial small subunit ribosomal RNA", at positions 30 to 507 of the family's 1533-position model. The record is from RNAcentral.
AUUGAACGCUGGCGGCAGGCCUAACACAUGCAAGUCGAACGGUAACAGGAAGAAGCUUGCUUCUUUGCUGACGAGUGGCGGACGGGUGAGUAAUGUCUGGGAAACUGCCUGAUGGAGGGGGAUAACUACUGGAAACGGUAGCUAAUACCGCAUAACGUCGCAAGACUAAAGAGGGGGACCUUCGGGCCUCUUGCCAGCGGAUGUGCCCAGAUGGGAUUAGCUAGUAGGUGGGGUAACGGCUCACCUAGGGGACGAUCCCUAGCUGGUCUGAGAGGAUGACCAGCCACACUGGAACUGAGACACGGUCCAGACUCCUACGGGAGGCAGCAGUGGGGAAUAUUGCACAAUGGGCGCAAGCCUGAUGCAGCCAUGCCGCGUGUAUGAAGAAGGCCUUCGGGUUGUAAAGUACUUUCAGCGGGGAGGAAGGGAGUAAAGUUAAUACCUUUGCUCAUUGACGUUACCCGCAGAAGAAGCACCGGCUAACUCCGUG